AUGAACGCUAGCGACAGGCCUAACACAUGCAAGUCAGGGGCAGCACAAGGAGCAAUCUGAGGUGGCGACCGGCGGCACGGGUGAGUAACACGUAUGCAACCUGCCUGUAAGCGGGGAAUAACCCGUUGAAAGACGGACUAAUACCGCAUAAUACUAAAUUACUGCAUGGUAAUUUAUUUAAACAUUUAUGGCUUACAGAUGGGCAUGCGCAUGAUUAGCUAGUUGGAGAGGUAACGGCUCCCCAAGGCAACGAUCAUUAGGGGUUCUGAGAGGAAGGUCCCCACACUGGUACUGAGACACGGACCAGACUCCUACGGGAGGCAGCAGUGAGGAAUAUUGGUCAAUGGACGAGAGUCUGAACCAGCCAAGUCGCGUGCAGGAAGAAUGUCCUAUGGAUUGUAAACUGCUUUUGCAGGGGAAUAAAGUGCAUCACGUGUGAUGUUUUGUAUGUACUCUGCGAAUAAGGAUCGGCUAACUCCGUGCCAGCAGCAGC
Molecule: ribosomal RNA, 493 nt
Filed under: uncultured bacterium
Lineage: Bacteria
Description: bacterial SSU rRNA
Rfam family: Bacterial small subunit ribosomal RNA
Source: RNAcentral